This 468-nucleotide ribosomal RNA is filed under the name uncultured bacterium. RNAcentral describes it as "bacterial SSU rRNA". It matches the Rfam family "Bacterial small subunit ribosomal RNA", at positions 29 to 521 of the family's 1533-position model. The record is from RNAcentral.
AUUGAACGCUAGCGGCAUGCCUUACACAUGCAAGUCGAACGGCAGCACGGGGGCAACCCUGGUGGCGAGUGGCGAACGGGUGAGUAAUACAUCGGAACGUGCCCUGUAGUGGGGGAUAACGUAGCGAAAGCUACGCUAAUACCGCAUACGCACUAUGGUGGAAAGCGGGGGAUCGCAAGACCUCGCGCUAUAGGAGCGGCCGAUGGCAGAUUAGCUUGUUGGUGGGUAAAAGCCUACCAAGGCGACGAUCUGUAGCUGGUCUGAGAGGACGACCAGCCACACUGGGACUGAGACACGGCCCAGACUCCUACGGGAGGCAGCAGUGGGGAAUUUUGGACAAUGGGGGAAACCCUGAUCCAGCAAUGCCGCGUGUGUGAAGAAGGCCUCGGUUGUAAGAUCUUCAGGUGGGAAGAUAAUGACUGUACCACCAGAAGAAGACCCGGCUAACUCCGUGCCAGCAGCCGCGGU